GAUGAACGCUAGCUACAGGCUUAACACAUGCAAGUCGAGGGGCAGCGGGAUUGAAGCUUGCUUCAAUUGCCGGCGACCGGCGCACGGGUGAGUAACGCGUAUCCAACCUUCCGUACACUCAGGGAUAGCCUUUCGAAAGAAAGAUUAAUACCUGAUGGUAUGAUGAGAUCGCAUGGUAUCAUCAUUAAAGAUUUAUCGGUGUACGAUGGGGAUGCGUUCCAUUAGGUAGUAGGCGGGGUAACGGCCCACCUAGCCUACGAUGGAUAGGGGUUCUGAGAGGAAGGUCCCCCACACUGGUACUGAGACACGGACCAGACUCCUACGGGAGGCAGCAGUGAGGAAUAUUGGUCAAUGGGCGAGAGCCUGAACCAGCCAAGUCGCGUGAAGGAUGAAGGAUCUAAUGGUUUGUAAAACUUCUUUUAAUAUGGGAAUAAAGUGAGGAACGUGUCCUUUUUGAUGUACCAUAUGAAUAAGCAUCGGCU
RNAcentral lists this ribosomal RNA (482 nucleotides) under uncultured bacterium. RNAcentral describes it as "bacterial SSU rRNA". It matches the Rfam family "Bacterial small subunit ribosomal RNA", at positions 28 to 498 of the family's 1533-position model. The record is from RNAcentral.